ACAAAUUCCAGAAUGCACAAACUCCUUCUAAAAUGGCUCUAGCUCCCAUAAUAAUCAAAUUUUCAGUAUUCUGACACCAACACUCCAAGAAGGGACCCAUCCCAUGAAGGCGACUCAUGACCAGAUUCUGUCAGUGGGUACAAGCAAUGUUUGGAGAUGAUACCUCAGAUCCACAGUACAAUGAAGAAUCCUCUGGAAAUUCUUCUCCAGGAUACAUUAAAGCUAAUUAAUCCCAGUCGCCUAACCUGCCUGUAUGAUCUCCUGCGCCACUGCGACUACUAGAUCAUCUCUCAUUGGCUGAAGCACACAUGGCCUAGUUCAGUUAUUCAGAAAUCCAGCUGAGGGGAGAUGUGAAGAAGAAAUGGAGUGAUGCAAACAGAGAAGUCAUUGGGAAUAUAUAUGUGAAUACCAUUCUUUCUUUUUCUCAGCUUAAAUACAGUCUCUUUAGCCUCUAAGAAUACCAUAACAUUUUAAAAUAUACUGUAUCUACAUAGUA
Molecule: long non-coding RNA, 496 nt
Organism: Numida meleagris (helmeted guineafowl)
Lineage: Eukaryota; Metazoa; Chordata; Aves; Galliformes; Numididae
Exons: 4
Source: RefSeq, a predicted model, not a curated record